Carassius gibelio (silver crucian carp) is the source of this 1395-nucleotide long non-coding RNA. RefSeq lists it as uncharacterized. The record is from RefSeq and is a predicted model, not a curated record. NCBI's taxonomy places the organism in Eukaryota, Metazoa, Chordata, Actinopteri, Cypriniformes, Cyprinidae. The transcript has 6 exons.
AGCCAAACAACUUCUUCUAGUUAAAAAUUACAGCGCUUCGUAAUGUGCAUAUGUCUUCAUGGAGCUCUUGUUGGUCCUGGUGUUUCCUCUCCGUCGUCCUAGCUGUCAACACAAGGCAAACCUCAUUAGCUCCAGAUUUCUUUGAUUACCUCCACAGGAUCCUGAAGAACCACACUGCCCAUGCGUGUGAUGGAGAGACGCUGUCCAUCAGAUGCUCCACCAGAACAUCUGUGGCUGUUCUCUAAGUGUAUUUUAUGGACGCCGUGUUCCAAGUCCAUAUCUAUGCACACACACAACCCCAAACAUAACAGAGGAAAACACAGACUGUACAUCAACCACAGCCAUUCAGAAAAUGUUGUCUGAGUGCCAGGAUCGGCGGGAGUGUCAGAUUCCUGUGAGCAUCAUUGUUCGAGAACGGUGUGUGAGACUUAGCGAAUGAAGUUGGCCUGUAAGAAUGACACAGUUUUGGCAAUCUAUUCAGCCACGUUUGGCCACCUGGAGCAUGACAGCCUUGAGUGCCCUCAAGAGACUAAAUCAAAACUAGAUAUAGGUCUGAGACUGAAAUAACUCACUUCUCCCAUCUAGUGGGAAGGUUUGGCUACAACAGCAGAGGCGGCAAAUUAUGUUCAAAUCCUUUUUUCCCAUUGUACAAAGUAGAACAGAGAUCAUAUUAUAUGAGACUAUGCUUAAAUGCUUGUUUUCUAUUAGAGUGCUUGUCUCCGUCAGUCUUGAGGAGGGUGUCAAGGACAUGUCAUGGCAGGACAAUCUGCUCUGUACUGGCUAAUGCUCACAGAUUUGGAGACCCCUGUUUCCCUGGGACCAAAAAGCACAUGUGAGUCUCCUUCACCUACGUACCACGUUAUCUACUAGAAGAUAUUGGACGUGGAAACAUAGAUCUGUUCUUGCUCUCUGAUUAUACACAUGGUCUUCCAGAGACGGUGGCUUUAUACUUUGUCUCUGGUAUCUGUGCUGGUCUGUUCUUCUUGCUGUGUUCAAUCUCAGAUUCACCCUGAUUAGAGAUCUGAAAGACCUUGCCUCUGAGCUAGGAGAUGAGCUCAAGUCCUCCCACCUUUUCGCCACCUUGUAUUCCCUUACCGCACACCAGACGUGUUCAACCCAGAGAUGAUAAUGACAUUGGUGAUGGAGGAGAGAAAGGAUGAGGACAAACCUGAGAUGCCCAAUGGAAGCAUCUGGCCUCAUAUCAACUCCAGUCCUUAUGCCAUGCACAAAAUCAAAACAUCAUCUGCUUAAUCUGGAUGUUUUCUUCUUAUCUGACUGUUUUCCUUAUUAAAAGAAGCAAUAAUUACAUGAUUUAACAUGAGUGAAGUCCAAGAUUACAUUUUCUUAAAUGUGUGAUGUAGAUUGUGACAUUGAAAUCAAGGCCACCUGCUUAUG